This is a small nucleolar RNA of Tachyglossus aculeatus (Australian echidna), 138 nucleotides long. NCBI's taxonomy places the organism in Eukaryota, Metazoa, Chordata, Mammalia, Monotremata, Tachyglossidae. The record is from RefSeq and is a predicted model, not a curated record.
CUCCUUUCAGGGUGGCACCUGGAGAGUCUCCAGUACUCUACCAGUCUCGAGUACAGAAGGGAGAGCCAGGCAGAGGCCUACCCAUUCUAUUCCUAGCCUGGGCAAUGGCUAGAUAGUGAAAGGCGAUCUGCUACAAGU